Hyaena hyaena (striped hyena) is the source of this 75-nucleotide small nucleolar RNA. RefSeq annotates it as small nucleolar RNA SNORD63. NCBI's taxonomy places the organism in Eukaryota, Metazoa, Chordata, Mammalia, Carnivora, Hyaenidae. The transcript has a single exon. The record is from RefSeq and is a predicted model, not a curated record.
GUGCAAUGAUGCAUUUGAUUAAUCAACACAUCAUUCUGAUAAGAUGAGUGUGUAGACAACUAAUGACUGAGCACA